This 731-nucleotide ribosomal RNA is filed under the name Dyella sp. Z1-YC6845. RNAcentral's name for it is "bacterial SSU rRNA". It matches the Rfam family "Bacterial small subunit ribosomal RNA", at positions 58 to 776 of the family's 1533-position model. The record is from RNAcentral. Lineage: Bacteria; Pseudomonadati; Pseudomonadota; Gammaproteobacteria; Lysobacterales; Rhodanobacteraceae.
CAAGUUCGAACGGCAGCACAGCAGUAGCAAUACGUGUGGGUGGCGAGUGGCGGACGGGUGAGUAAUGCAUCGGGACCUACCUAGACGUGGGGGAUAACGUAGGGAAACUUACGCUAAUACCGCAUACGUCCUACGGGAGAAAGCAGGGGACCUUCGGGCCUUGCGCGGUUAGACGGACCGAUGUUCGAUUAGCUUGUUGGUGAGGUAAUGGCUCACCAAGGCGACGAUCGAUAGCUGGUCUGAGAGGAUGAUCAGCCACACUGGAACUGAGACACGGUCCAGACUCCUACGGGAGGCAGCAGUGGGGAAUAUUGGACAAUGGGCGCAAGCCUGAUCCAGCAAUGCCGCGUGUGUGAAGAAGGCCUUCGGGUUGUAAAGCACUUUUAUCAGGAGCGAAAUACUACCGGCUAAUACCCGGUGGGGCUGACGGUACCUGAGGAAUAAGCACCGGCUAACUUCGUGCCAGCAGCCGCGGUAAUACGAAGGGUGCAAGCGUUAAUCGGAAUUACUGGGCGUAAAGCGUGCGUAGGCGGUUUGUUAAGUCUGCUGUGAAAUCCCCGGGCUCAACCUGGGAAUGGCAGUGGAUACUGGCAAGCUAGAGUGUGUCAGAGGAUGGUGGAAUUCCCGGUGUAGCGGUGAAAUGCGUAGAGAUCGGGAGGAACAUCAGUGGCGAAGGCGGCCAUCUGGGACAACACUGACGCUGAGGCACGAAAGCGUGGGGAGCAAACAGG